AAGUCCCGCAACGAGCGCAACCCUUGAUCUUAGUUGCCAGCAUUUAGUUGGGCACUCUAAGAUGACUGCCGGUGACAAACCGGAGGAAGGUGGGGAUGACGUCAAAUCAUCAUGGCCCUUACGAGUAGGGCUACACACGUGCUACAAUGGCGUAUACAGAGGGCGGCAAGCUAGCGAUAGUGAGCGAAUCCCACAAAGUACGUCGUAGUCCGGAUUGGAGUCUGCAACUCGACUCCAUGAAGUCGGAAUCGCUAGUAAUCGUGGAUCAGAAUGCCACGGUGAAUACGUUCCCGGGCCUUGUACACACCGCCCGUCACACCAUGGGAGUGGGCUGCACCAGAAGUAGAUAGCUUAACCUUCGAGAGGGCGUUUACCACGGUGUGGUUCAUGACUGUUGUUAAUUAAUGGAAUUAUACCAAUU
RNAcentral lists this ribosomal RNA (421 nucleotides) under uncultured Photobacterium sp. RNAcentral describes it as "bacterial SSU rRNA". It matches the Rfam family "Bacterial small subunit ribosomal RNA", at positions 1082 to 1533 of the family's 1533-position model. Lineage: Bacteria; Pseudomonadati; Pseudomonadota; Gammaproteobacteria; Vibrionales; Vibrionaceae. The record is from RNAcentral.